GAAUUCGCCCUUAGAGUUUGAUCCUGGCUCAGGAUGAACGCUGGCGGCGUGCUUAACACAUGCAAGUCGAACGGGGUACCUCUGAAGGAGACUUCGGUCAACGGAAGGGAAUACCUAGUGGCGGACGGGUGAGUAACGCGUGAGGAACCUGCCUUGGAGUGGGGAAUAACAGUUGGAAACAGCUGCUAAUACCGCAUAAUGCACUGAGGUCGCAUGACCAUAGUGCCAAAGAUUUAUUGCUCUGAGAUGGACUCGCGUCCGAUUAGAUAGUUGGCGGGGCAACGGCCCACCAAGUCGACGAUCGGUAGCCGGACUGAGAGGUUGGCCGGCCACAUUGGGACUGAGACACGGCCCAGACUCCUACGGGAGGCAGCAGUGGGGAAUAUUGGGCAAUGGGCGAAAGCCUGACCCAGCAACGCCGCGUGAAGGAAGAAGGCCCUCGGGUUGUAAACUUCUUUUAUCAGGGACGAAGGAAGUGACGGUACCUGAUGAAUAAGCCACGGCUAACUACGUGCCAGCAGCCGCGGUAAUACGUAGGUGGCAAGCGUUAUCCGGAUUUACUGGGUGUAAAGGGCGUGUAGGCGGGUAUACAAGUCAGAUGUGAAAACCAUGGGCUCAACCCAUGGCCUGCAUUUGAAACUGCGUAUCUUGAGUGAUGGAGAGGCAGGCGGAAUUCCGUGUGUAGCGGUGAAAUGCGUAGAUAUACGGAGGAACAUCAGUGGCGAAGGCGGCCUGCUGGACAUUAACUGACGCUGAGGCGCGAAAGCGUGGGGAGCAAACAGGAUUAGAUACCCUGGUAGUCCACGCUGUAAACGAUCGAUACUAGGUGUGGGGGGACUGACCCUCUCCGUGCCGCAGCAAACGCAAUAAGUAUCGCACCUGGGGAGUACGAUCGCAAGGUUGAAACUCAAAGGAAUUGACGGGGGCCCGCACAAGCGGUGGAGUAUGUGGUUUAAUUCGAUGCAACGCGAAGAACCUUACCAGGGCUUGACAUGGGGAUGACGAGGGUAGAGAUACCCUUUCUCUUCGGAGCAUCCCACACAGGUGGUGCAUGGUUGUCGUCAGCUCGUGUCGUGAGAUGUUGGGUUAAGUCCCAUAACGAGCGCAACCCCUGCCGUCAGUUGCCAUCGGGUAGAGCCGGGCACUCUGUCGGGACUGCCGCCGUAAGGUGUGAGGAGGGUGGGGACGACGUCAAAUCAGCACGGCCCUUACGUCUGGGGCGACACACGUGUUACAAUGGCGGGUACAGAGGGAAGCGGGGCGGCGACGCCGAGCGGAUCCUCAAAGCCCGCCCCAGUUCGGACCGGAGCCUGCAACCCGGCUCCGCGAAGUUGGAUUCGCUAGUAAUCGCGCAUCAGCCAUGGCGCGGUGAAUACGUUCCCGGGCCUUGCACACACCGCCCGUCA
This 1406-nucleotide ribosomal RNA is filed under the name uncultured bacterium. RNAcentral describes it as "bacterial SSU rRNA". It matches the Rfam family "Bacterial small subunit ribosomal RNA". The record is from RNAcentral.